This 3978-nucleotide long non-coding RNA is filed under the name Sus scrofa (pig). Its description in RNAcentral is "lncRNA (ENSSSCG00035010999.1)". The record is from RNAcentral. Lineage: Eukaryota; Metazoa; Chordata; Mammalia; Artiodactyla; Suidae.
AUUUCUUGGGCCGCUCCUGUGGCAUAUGGAGGUUCCCAGGCUAGGGGUUAAAUCGGAACUGUAGCUGCCAGCCUACGCCAGAGCCACAGCAACGUAGGAUCCAAGCUGUGUCUGCGACCUACACCGCAGCUCACACCAAUGCCAGAUCCUUAGCCCACUGAGCAAGGCCAGGGAUCGAACCCGCAACCUCAUGGUUCCUAGUCGGAUUCGUUAACCACUGCGCCACGAUGGGAACUCCUGAUUCUUUUAAUAUAUUAUUAGAGUCAGUUUGCUAGUAUUUUGUUGAGGAUUUUUAAAACCAUAUUCAUCAAUGAUAUUAGCCAUAUAAUUUUCUAUUUUUUGUGAUUACCUUUGUCUGGUUUCAGUAUCAGCGUGAUACUGGCCUCAUAGAAUAUUUUUGGAAGUGAUCCUUCCUCUGAAAUUUUUUGUAAUAAUUUCAAAAGUAUAGGUGUUAACUCUUCUCUAAGUGUUUGGUAGAAUUCACUUGUAAAGCCAUUUGGUCCUGGACUUUUAUUUUUUGGGACUUUUAAAAUCACAGUUUCAAUUUUUUUUACUUGUAAUUGGUCCAUCCAUCUUUUUUCUCUUUCUUCCUGAUUCAGUCUUGGGGGGUUGUACCUCUCUUAGAAUUGGUCACUUUUUUUAGAGUGUCCAUUUUAUUGGCAUAUAGUUUCUUUUCUUUUUUCUUUUUUUGCUUUUUGAGAGCCACACCCACGGCAUAUGGAGGUUCCCAGGCUAGGGAUCAAAUAGGAGCUAUAGCUGCUGGCCUAUGCCACAGCAACAGCAAUGCCAGAUCUGAGCCACAUCUGCAACCUAUACCACGAGUCACAGUAAUGCCAGAUACUGGAACUCCUGACAUAUUGUUUCUUGUAAUAAUGAUCCUUUGUAUUUCUGUGUCGUUAGUUGUAAUUUCUCUUUUUUCAUUUCUAAUUUUAUUGAUUUGAGCCCUCUCCCUUUUCUUCUGCUGAGUCUGGCUAAAGGUUUAUUAAUUUUGUUUAUCUUUUCAAAGAACAGGCUUUUAAUUUCAUCGAUCUUUUCUUUUGUUUUCUUUAUCUCUAUUUUAUUUAUUUUUGCUCUGAUCGUUAUGAUUUCUUUUCUACUACUAACUUUGGAUUUUGUUUGUUGUUCUUCCUCUAGUUGCUUUAGGUGUAAGAUUAGGUUGUUUAUUUGAGGUUUUUAUUUCCUGAGAUAAGCUUGUAUCAUUAGAAACUUUGGUGCUAGAACUGGUUUUUCUGAGUCCCAUGGAUUUUGGAUCGUUGUGCUUUCAUUUAUAUGUCUCUAGAAAUAUAUAUAUAUAUAUUUUUAAUGGCGACACCUGUGUCACAUAGAAGUUCCUGGGCUAGGGGUUAAAUUAGAGCUGCAGCUGAGGCCUGCAUCACAGCCACAGCAACACUGGAUCUGAGCCACAACUGCAACCUACAAUGCAGCUCACAACAAUGCCAGAUCCCUAACCCACUCUGCAAGGCCAGGGAUCCAACCUGCAUCUUCUUAGUGAUGAUGCUGGGUUCUUAACCCACUGAGUCACAAUAGGAACACCUUUCUCUAGGCGUUUUUGAUUUCCUCUCUGAUUACUUCAGUGAACUGUUGGUUGUUUAGCAGCAUAUUGUUUAGCCAUGUGUUUGUGUUUGUAUGUAUAGAAGUGGCUGUGGGUUCAAGACAAAUUCAGGCAGGCUUUCUGCUGAUGGGUGGGGCUGUGUUCUUGCCCUUUUGGUUAUUUGGCCUGAGGCAUCCUAGCACUGGUUGUUGGGGAGGACCAGGUCUUGGUUUCAGAAUGGCAGUCUUCAGGAAAGUUCACCCCAAUGAAUAUUCCCUGAUACCUCCACCACCAGUGUCUUUGUCCUCUCAGUGAGGUACAGCCACCCCCCCACCUCCCCAGAAGACCCUCUAAGACCAGCAGGUAGGUCUGGCCCAGAAGCCUAUGAAGUCACUGCUUUUUCCAUGAGUCUCAGUGCUAUGAGCCCUCAUGCUUAUCCUCCCAAGAGUGGAGUCUCUGUUUCUCCCAGUCCAAUUGUGCUCCUGCACUCAAGCCCUGCUGGCCUUCAAAGCUAAAUGCUCUGGAGGCUCCUCCUCCUCCUGCAAGCUGGGGAGCCGGACAUGAGGCUCAGAACUCUCACUCCUAUAGGACAACUUCUACGAUGUGAUUGUUUUCCAGUUUGUGGGCCAUGAACCCAGAGGGUAUGAGAUUUGACUAUAGCAUAAGUGCACCCUCCCUACUGUUUUGUUGUGUUUCUUCUUUAUGUCUUUGGAUGAAGACUAUCUUGUUUGGUAGAUUUAAGUCUUUUUUUUUUUUUUUUUUUUCUUUUUGCUAUUUUUUGGGCCGCUCCCACGGCAUAUGGAGAUUCCCAGGCUAGGGGUCAGAUCGGAGCUGUAGCCUCCGGCCUACACCAGAGCUACAGUAACGUGAGAUCCAAGCCGUGUCUGCAACCUACACCACAGCUCACGGCAACGCCGGAUCGUUAACCCACUGAGCAAGGGCAGGGAUCGAACCUGCAACCUCAUGGUUCCUAGUCGGAUUCGUUAACCACUGCGCCACGACGGGAACUCCAGAUUUAAGUCUUUUUUAUUGAUGGUUAUUCAAUAGUAAGUUGUGAUUUUGGGGGUGCUCAUGAAUGGAGGUGAGCUCAAGGUCCUUCUAUUCUGCCAUCUUCAUUACCAGCCAAGCCCUUUCUAGAAUUAUCUCAUUCUAGAUUUAUAAAACUUCUUAAUAGUUGUAUUUUUAUUUUUAAAUAUUUCUAAAUAUUUCUUUUUUAUACGUACCUGUUCUUUUACAUGUUUAGGAAUGUGUUCAUAUUAGGUUUAUUAAAUGUUUUUCUGAGCAUUAGAUAUCAUUUUUUUUUUUUUUUAGUUUUGUUUCCUUUUUGUGUUUUGGCCUUCAAUGGCUCCUAUAAUCUGCAGUCCUGGACAGAAUUCAUAGUAUUUUUCUUCAGCCUGCUCUCAUGAUUUGGAGAUGUUUUAUUAAACUCUCUCUUAGGCAGUGGGUCUUACUCUGAUUCCCUGCCUUUCCUAGUGGUUCAUUUUUAUUGCCCAUUACUUCACAGGAACUUAACUCCUAAUUGCUCCUGUUUGCUUCUUAAUCCAGACCCUAGCUCCCAUUUUGUAUUUUGUUCCCAUAUCUGGCCCAUGAAGAUAUUUAUGUCUUAUUUUUGAACAAUUUUUACUUGUUUUGUUGUUUAUUUUCUUUUCAUUUUUUUUCCUAUCAUUACUGUUUAGUUGAAGCAUAAGGAGUGUCUUAAAGUGUGAAUUUACUGCUCUAUCUUCCCUGAGCUCUUGUUUUCUAUCAUUUUGUUGAAGGUUUAAUGAAAAAUUUGCUGUCUGAAUCCUGCUAAUUACUCCACUUGGAUUUUUGUAGAUGGAGUCUCACAUGGAGUCAAGGAGUACAACAUGUUCUAAAGCAGAGGACUGCAGAGUAACAGUGACUGGAGAAUUUUAUGGGGCCUCUUCUUCUUCCAUUCCUAGCCCUUGGGAUAAGAUAACUCUGACUUCCUACUGCCCAUUCCCAGUCUAUACAACUUACAGGUCCUGAGGCUUAAACAGCAGUCACUUUUCUCUGCGGUGCUGCUGUUGGUGUGUGGUCCCUCCCCCUGUGAUCUUACUUUCAAGAGAUAAGUGAAUUAAGAUGUCAAGGCAUGGGAUGUGCUUCAGAGAAACUAUACCUGUGCUAGAGGGUAUCAACUCUCCACAAUUCUUGAACUGUAUAAGUCACUCUACCUUCCUAUGGGGAGAUCAUGGUCAGGGUCUACACUGGGCCUGGAGAGAUGUGCCCCCAGCCUGCCUAUGCCCUAUAAAGACAAGAGAAGCUGAGACUACGGUAUUUCCUUAAUGCUUUGAUUUAACAGUUCAAGUUCUGAAAAUCAAUCCUAAGAAAAUAACCAGGGAUGUGAUCAAGAUUUAAGCAUAAAUGUAUUUGCCUUAAUUUUACCUGUAAUAGUGAAAAAUUGAGAGGAUAAACCCUAUUUCCCACCCUAUCCCCCCAAAAAAAAA